Ziziphus jujuba (common jujube) is the source of this 827-nucleotide long non-coding RNA. RefSeq lists it as uncharacterized. The record is from RefSeq and is a predicted model, not a curated record. Lineage: Eukaryota; Viridiplantae; Streptophyta; Magnoliopsida; Rosales; Rhamnaceae. The transcript has 2 exons.
AGUGCUUGACUAAAACUAAAAUAAACCAAAUUUUCAAACGGGGCAUUAAAUGAUUGAAUCCAAAUUUACUCUAUAAAUAAAAUCAAACGGACUUUAUUCCCUUCUUACAUCCAUGCUCUUUUUUUUUUUUUUUUUGGCUGAAUCCUUCAUUGAUCUAAGUUGGGGGCUAUAGAAAAUAUUUGAGAUACUUUGUUUUAUCUUCCUCCUCUACAUCAAAAUGACUUUCUCCAAGGCCUUUAUCUUCACAAGGGUUAUCAUCUUGCUGAUAUUCUCGGCAGUUGCUAUUGCCACGCUUCAAGAUGCAAAACUCAAUCCGAACCUCGGACGAAGAGUCCUUAGUUUAGCUAACCAGCGUCCCCUCCAACCCGACUCUCCCUCAAACAGAGCAGGCACACCGUUGCCACCAUCACCUAGUGGCCGCCACAUAGACACAGCACCAUCACCCUAUGAUGGAACACGGGUGCCACCAUCCCCUAGCGGCGGCGUCCCACCAGCUGGGUAAGGUACGCUUCCAUCCUACGGCAAGUCCGCCUGGAAAGAGAACUUGCUUAGCCAGCCACCGGAAAAGCAAUAUGGAUGUUAGAGAAGGACCGAUAUGUUACCCUAUUUAAUGUGAUUUAUAAUUGAAGGUGAGUGUACGCUAUAAAAUUAACUGUGUGCAUAAGUGCUAAGAGUAUGUGUUUCAUGCUACAGCUCAGUUUUAUUUUAAGGAUAUUGUGUCAAUUACCAUUGUGUGUGAUAUGUGCUUACGUUUAUUAUUAUAACAGCUUGGUUUCAAAAUUAUAAUGUAUUAUAUAUAGCUUUUUUAUUCAGGUAAAAUUUGGUAA